AUGUGAGAAGCAAAACUUGCAAUCAGUUUCGACCUGAUCCUAGAUAAUUAACUUAUCCUCACUUU
This 65-nucleotide transfer RNA is filed under the name Microcerotermes sp. A TB-2017. RNAcentral describes it as "tRNA-Arg". The record is from RNAcentral. Lineage: Eukaryota; Metazoa; Arthropoda; Insecta; Blattodea; Termitidae.